Molecule: ribosomal RNA, 456 nt
Filed under: Triticum aestivum (bread wheat)
Lineage: Eukaryota; Viridiplantae; Streptophyta; Magnoliopsida; Poales; Poaceae
Description: partial small subunit ribosomal RNA
Source: RNAcentral
AUGCAGACAACUGCGGCGGGCACUUCUUCAUCGGCUGGGAGAGGUCGGGGGAGGACGAAGAAGACUGGUAGAGGUGGACGUGGCAGCGGGAGAGGAAGGAAGGCUGCUAUGCCUUCCUCGCCGCCACCCUCAGCUGAUUCACCCGACUACAUGACUGCUCCUUCUGACGUGGAGCUGUCUCGGACUCCGGUCCAUGAGCCUCCGGUCGCUGAUCCUUCGCCCCACCAGACUCGGGUCGCCGAUCCUUCGCCCCACGUGAGUCCAGUCCCAGAGUCUUCGUCCCAGAAGACUCCGGUCACAGGGUCUUCGUCCCAGAAGACUCCGGUCACGGGUUCUUCGUCCCAGAAGACUCCGAUCCCGCAGUCUUCUUCCCACGAGACUCCGGAGGCUAGUGGCCCGGAGGAUGGUAGCGAGGACACCUUUUCAGAUGAUAGCUACAGCGACGACGAUGGUUGA